Molecule: small RNA, 156 nt
Filed under: Chloroflexota bacterium
Lineage: Bacteria; Bacillati; Chloroflexota
Source: RNAcentral
AACCAAAGAUCAGGACCGCGGGGUCCGCGAAGCCGGUGAGAAUCCGGCACAGUCCCGCUACGGUGACCAGCCCCCGACGUGACGUCGGUGGCGCUGGAAGUCCGGUCGCCGGUCCCGCGGUCGUGCUCGAGCCUUCGCGAGAAAGGACAGGCACCA